Long non-coding RNA from Leucoraja erinaceus (little skate), 1783 nucleotides. RefSeq lists it as uncharacterized. The transcript is spliced from 2 exons. The record is from RefSeq and is a predicted model, not a curated record. Lineage: Eukaryota; Metazoa; Chordata; Chondrichthyes; Rajiformes; Rajidae.
GAGAGAAACUGGUGAACUACUGUUUUUAAUGUGUCUAAAUACAGCUCUUUGAAAUGUGAAAUCUGGCUAGUUGCAUAUAAUUCAUAAAACCAUUCAGUAAUGAAACGAGGGACAAAUACUGGAAUUUUUUUUAAAGAAUGUAUGAGAAUUAUUUGGAUCAAAGGGGAAAAGGCUACAUUUAAACCCAUCUUCUCAAGAAUGCUUAAAUGUAAAUCUAUGAAAGGGUUUUAAGAUAAAAUUCUGAGAAUAAAGCCAGAUUUAUAGUGACUGGUCUUUAUAUUUGCUCCACCGUGUGGCAGCCUGACAACCAGCCACAGCUUUACCGUGCACCCUAACUUCACGCCGUGGAUAAUCCCGCCCUCGUUGCUUAGCAACGGCGGGCCGAGCCAAUCAAGCCGCCCGGCGCCGCGUCAAUCACGCCCCCUUUCCAGCUUCCGGUCAUCAGGGUUGGUUGCACCGGCGGACGGCCAUGGCGACGGCGUUAGACCCUUCGCGGACGAGAUGCUGCACAUGGAGAAUGGAGUACAUAGCCACCAGUUGCCCCAAACACCAGCCACCGAAUGGUGAACGAGGUCUGAUUAACCUGGACGAUGACAUAGAAACAUAGAAAAUAGGUGCAGGAGUAGGCCAUUCGGCCCUUCGAGCCUGCACCGCCAUUCAAUAUGAUCAUGGCUGAUCAUUCAACUCCGUAUCCUGUACCUGCCUUCUCUCCAUACCCCCUGAUCCCUUUAGCCACAAGGGCCACAUCUAACUCCCUCUUAAAUAUAGCCAAUGAACUGGCCUCAACUACCUUUUGUGGCAGAGAAUUCCAGAGAUUCACCACUCUCUGUGUGAAAAAUGUUUUCCUCAUCUCGGUCCUAAAAGAUGUCCCCCUUAUCCUUAAACUGUGACCCCUUGUUCUGGAACUUCCCCAACAUCGGGAACAAUCUUCCUGCAUCUAGCCUGUCCAACCCCUUAAGAAUUUUGUACGUUUCUAUAAGAUUCCCCCUCAAUCUUAAUGUAAUGUAAUAAUAAUGUCAGACAGCAGCAGGGGUGGAAGAUUGCAACCUUCACGUGGUCCGCCCUGUUUCGACUAAUGCAAUCAGCUCAACGUGUACAAACGGAAGAUCAAAUAGAACAAAGGUAAACAAAAAUGCUGGAGAAAUUCAUCGGGUGCAGCAUCUGCAGUCCAGCAUCUGGAGUUCCUUCUUGAACAUCAAAUAGAACAAAGUUGUCCAACAACUUUAGGCUGUGCACGCCACACGAAAGAAGAAGAAGAAGAAGACAACAGCAGAGGUCAGGAUCGAACCCCUUUCUCUGGUGCUGUGAGGCAACAGCUGCACCACUCUACCGUCCUUAAAUGUUAAUGCUUUUUUAUCUUUCCACAGAUGCUAUUUUGCCCGCAGGGUAAUCCCAGCAUUUUCUGAUUUGAUUUCAGAUAUUCAACGUACGCGGGUAUUUUUAAUAUUCAGGUAGGAAGCUCUCUAGCCCAAGGGAACAAGGGGUUUACACGGGAUGCUAUCAUUUGUAUCUCAACCAACAUUCAUUAAUAAUGUUUCUGGCAUCUUGCUGUAUGUACAUUAGUUGGGUGGUUUGUUUAUUGAACAACAAAUGAGGCAGUGCCUGCAUGCAGUAAGUGCUAGAAAAUUACCAACCCCGCCACCCCUCACCUGUGUUCACCUAUUGCCUAACAUGCUGUUAUGUCCCUAAUAUCAUGGCUAUGGAAUUUACAUAUUCAGAGAUCAUAAGCGUUACAACAUAAAUGCAAAUUUAUUCUGUUAAACUAAAUAAAAAAAAUAAUUAU